Molecule: ribosomal RNA, 447 nt
Filed under: uncultured bacterium
Lineage: Bacteria
Description: bacterial SSU rRNA
Rfam family: Bacterial small subunit ribosomal RNA
Source: RNAcentral
GGCCAGACUCCUACGGGAGGCAGCAGUGGGGAAUAUUGCACAAUGGGGGAAACCCUGAUGCAGCGACGCCGCGUGAGCGAUGAAGUAUUUCGGUAUGUAAAGCUCUAUCAGCAGGGAAGAAGAUGACGGUACCUGACUAAGAAGCCCCGGCUAACUACGUGCCAGCAGCCGCGGUAAUACGUAGGGGGCAAGCGUUAUCCGGAUUUACUGGGUGUAAAGGGGGCGCAGACGGCGAUGCAAGCCAGGAGUGAAAGCCCGGGGCCCAACCCCGGGACUGCUCUUGGAACUGCGUGGCUGGAGUGCAGGAGGGGCAGGCGGAAUUCCUAGUGUAGCGGUGAAAUGCGUAGAUAUUAGGAGGAACACCAGUGGCGAAGGCGGCUUGCUGGACAGUAACUGACGUUGAGGCUCGAAAGCGUGGGGAGCAAACAGGAUUAGAUACCCCCGUAU